This 498-nucleotide ribosomal RNA is filed under the name uncultured bacterium. Its description in RNAcentral is "partial 16S ribosomal RNA". It matches the Rfam family "Bacterial small subunit ribosomal RNA", at positions 28 to 507 of the family's 1533-position model. The record is from RNAcentral.
GACGAACGCUGGCGGCGUGCCUAAUACAUGCAAGUCGAGCGGACGAUUCGAAAGCUUGCUUUUGAAUCGUUAGCGGCGGACGGGUGAGUAACACGUGGGCAACCUGCCCUGUAGACGGGGAUAACACCGAGAAAUCGGUGCUAAUACCGGAUAACACGAAAUGUCGCAUGACGUUUCGUUGAAAGGCGGCGCAAGCUGCCGCUACAGGAUGGGCCCGCGGCGCAUUAGCUAGUUGGUGAGGUAACGGCUCACCAAGGCGACGAUGCGUAGCCGACCUGAGAGGGUGAUCGGCCACACGGGGACUGAGACACGGCCCAGACUCCUACGGGAGGAAGCAGUAGGGAAUCUUCCGCAAUGGACGAAAGUCUGACGGAGCAACGCCGCGUGAGCGAAGAAGGCCUUCGGGUCGUAAAGCUCUGUUGUUAGGGAAGAACAAGUAACGUAGUAACUGACGUUACUAUGACGGUACCUAACGAGAAAGCCACGGCUAACUACGUG